RNAcentral lists this ribosomal RNA (940 nucleotides) under Staphylococcus aureus. RNAcentral's name for it is "partial 23S ribosomal RNA". It matches the Rfam family "Bacterial large subunit ribosomal RNA", at positions 1603 to 2544 of the family's 2925-position model. The record is from RNAcentral. Lineage: Bacteria; Bacillati; Bacillota; Bacilli; Caryophanales; Staphylococcaceae.
CACUGCCGAGAAAAGCCUCUAGAUAGAAAAUAGGUGCCCGUACCGCAAACCGACACAGGUAGUCAAGAUGAGAAUUCUAAGGUGAGCGAGCGAACUCUCGUUAAGGAACUCGGCAAAAUGACCCCGUAACUUCGGGAGAAGGGGUGCUCUUUAGGGUUAACGCCCAGAAGAGCCGCAGUGAAUAGGCCCAAGCGACUGUUUAUCAAAAACACAGGUCUCUGCUAAACCGUAAGGUGAUGUAUAGGGGCUGACGCCUGCCCGGUGCUGGAAGGUUAAGAGGAGUGGUUAGCUUCUGCGAAGCUACGAAUCGAAGCCCCAGUAAACGGCGGCCGUAACUAUAACGGUCCUAAGGUAGCGAAAUUCCUUGUCGGGUAAGUUCCGACCCGCACGAAAGGCGUAACGAUUUGGGCACUGUCUCAACGAGAGACUCGGUGAAAUCAUAGUACCUGUGAAGAUGCAGGUUACCCGCGACAGGACGGAAAGACCCCGUGGAGCUUUACUGUAGCCUGAUAUUGAAAUUCGGCACAGCUUGUACAGGAUAGGUAGGAGCCUUUGAAACGUGAGCGCUAGCUUACGUGGAGGCGCUGGUGGGAUACUACCCUAGCUGUGUUGGCUUUCUAACCCGCACCACUUAUCGUGGUGGGAGACAGUGUCAGGCGGGCAGUUUGACUGGGGCGGUCGCCUCCUAAAAGGUAACGGAGGCGCUCAAAGGUUCCCUCAGAAUGGUUGGAAAUCAUUCAUAGAGUGUAAAGGCAUAAGGGAGCUUGACUGCGAGACCUACAAGUCGAGCAGGGUCGAAAGACGGACUUAGUGAUCCGGUGGUUCCGCAUGGAAGGGCCAUCGCUCAACGGAUAAAAGCUACCCCGGGGAUAACAGGCUUAUCUCCCCCAAGAGUUCACAUCGACGGGGAGGUUUGGCACCUCGAUGUCGGCUCAUCGCA